Molecule: ribosomal RNA, 465 nt
Filed under: uncultured bacterium
Lineage: Bacteria
Description: partial 16S ribosomal RNA
Rfam family: Bacterial small subunit ribosomal RNA
Source: RNAcentral
GACGAACGCUGGCGGCGUGCUUAACACAUGCAAGUCGAACGGAAAGGCCCUGCUUGCAGGGUACUCGAGUGGCGAACGGGUGAGUAACACGUGGGUGAUCUGCCCUGCACUUCGGGAUAAGCCUGGGAAACUGGGUCUAAUACCGGAUAGUAGCCAUUUUUAGUGUGAUGGUUGGAAAGUUUUUUCGGUGUAGGAUGAGCUCGCGGCCUAUCAGCUUGUUGGUGGGGUAAUGGCCUACCAAGGCGGCGACGGGUAGCCGGCCUGAGAGGGUGGACGGCCACAUUGGGACUGAGAUACGGCCCAGACGCCUACGGGAGGCAGCAGUGGGGAAUAUUGCACAAUGGGCGCAAGCCUGAUGCAGCGACGCCGCGUGGGGGAUGACGGCCUUCGGGUUGUAAACUCCUUUCGCUAGGGACGAAGCUUUUUGUGACGGUACCUAGAGAAGAAGCACCGGCUAACUACGUG